RNAcentral lists this ribosomal RNA (429 nucleotides) under uncultured Comamonas sp. RNAcentral describes it as "bacterial SSU rRNA". It matches the Rfam family "Bacterial small subunit ribosomal RNA", at positions 355 to 776 of the family's 1533-position model. Lineage: Bacteria; Pseudomonadati; Pseudomonadota; Betaproteobacteria; Burkholderiales; Comamonadaceae. The record is from RNAcentral.
UGGGGAAUUUUGGACAAUGGACGCAAGUCUGAUCCAGCAAUACCGCGUGCAGGACGAAGGCCUUCGGGUUGUAAACUGCUUUUGUACGGAACGAAAAGCCUUCUUCUAAUACAGGGAGGUCAUGACGGUACCGUAAGAAUAAGCACCGGCUAACUACGUGCCAGCAGCCGCGGUAAUACGUAGGGUGCAAGCGUUAAUCGGAAUUACUGGGCGUAAAGCGUGCGCAGGCGGUUGUGUAAGACAGGUGUGAAAUCCCCGAGCUCAACUUGGGAAUUGCACUUGUGACUGCACAGCUAGAGUACGGCAGAGGGGGAUGGAAUUCCGCGUGUAGCAGUGAAAUGCGUAGAUAUGCGGAGGAACACCGAUGGCGAAGGCAAUCCCCUGGGCCUGUACUGACGCUCAUGCACGAAAGCGUGGGGAGCAAACAGG